RNAcentral lists this long non-coding RNA (434 nucleotides) under Amborella trichopoda. RNAcentral's name for it is "long non-coding RNA (ATRI_LNC001111)". The record is from RNAcentral. Lineage: Eukaryota; Viridiplantae; Streptophyta; Magnoliopsida; Amborellales; Amborellaceae.
GCUGGGUAAUUUCUUGAUGCGAAUUCGCGUAUACUUCACAACAAUGUCCCAUGUGAGAGAGAGCAGAGUGAUAAUGGCACUAACCAAGAAAACAACGGAACAAACGUCAAGAAAAAAAAAUGAUGUGAUAAAAAAUUGGCACGGUUCAAGUAUUAUAUUAUAAUUGCGUACUUUUAAGGAUAGGAUCUUAUCGUUUUAAAAAGUGCACAUACUAAUUGAGAGGCUCAUUUUUUAUUGAUUUUCUUUUUGUCCAUAAUUUUUUUUUGGUUUCUUUCUUUUAUUAUAGGGGGAGGGGGCCUACAUGCAUAUUUUAAAAAUUUGUCCAAACAUGUAGCUAGGAUGGUAAGAUCUUAUCGCUGUGAGAAUAAAAGAAGUAAAUUUACAUAGAGCCAAAGGUUCUAAACAAUCAAAUUAGAGCCCACUUCAAAAAAUUC